CUAGCCCAGUCCACAAACUGCAUUCCACCAUAAACGUUGUUGGCAAAUCGCACACCAACUGUGAAAGCCAUUGCAAUAGGUGGAACCUGCUUUGCUAAGGGUGAUGCUUCUACCACACGUUCCAGCCCAUUAAUAAUUUGGUAGCGUGUGUUGGAUGAAACUGCAAGAAAAACACCCCAAAGAGCUGCACUUUUCACAAGAGG
This 203-nucleotide unclassified non-coding RNA is filed under the name Hevea brasiliensis (rubber tree). The record is from RNAcentral. Lineage: Eukaryota; Viridiplantae; Streptophyta; Magnoliopsida; Malpighiales; Euphorbiaceae.